RNAcentral lists this ribosomal RNA (490 nucleotides) under uncultured bacterium. RNAcentral describes it as "partial 16S ribosomal RNA". It matches the Rfam family "Bacterial small subunit ribosomal RNA", at positions 30 to 507 of the family's 1533-position model. The record is from RNAcentral.
AUUGAACGCUGGCGGCAGGCCUAACACAUGCAAGUCGAAUGGUAACAGGAAACAGCUUGCUGUUUCGCUGACGAGUGGCGGACGGGUGAGUAAUGUCUGGGAAACUGCCUGAUGGAGGGGGAUAACUACUGGAAACGGUAGCUAAUACCGCAUAACGUCGCAAGACCAAAGAGGGGGACCUUCGGGCCUCUUGCCAUCAGAUGUGCCCAGAUGGGAUUAGCUAGUAGGUGGGGUAACGGCUCACCUAGGCGACGAUCCCUAGCUGGUCUGAGAGGAUGACCAGCCACACUGGAACUGAGACACGGUCCAGACUCCUACGGGAGGCAGCAGUGGGGAAAAUUGCACAAUGGGCGCAAGCCUGAUGCAGCCAUGCCGCGUGUAUGAAGAAGGCCUUCGGGUUGUAAAGUACUUUCAGCGGGGAGGAAGGGAGUAAAGUUAAUACCUUUGCUCAUUGACGUUACCCGCAGAAGAAGCACCGGCUAACUCCGUG